AAAGCGUGGGUAUCGAACAGGAUUAGAUACCCUGGUAGUCCACGCAGUAAACGAUGAAUACUAACUGUCUGGCCCGAUUGAGGGUUGGGUGGUACAGCGAAAGCGUUAAGUAUUCCACCUGGGGAGUACGCCGGCAACGGUGAAACUCAAAGGAAUUGACGGGGGCCCGCACAAGCGGAGGAACAUGUGGUUUAAUUCGAUGAUACGCGAGGAACCUUACCCGGGCUCAAACGACACAGGAAUACUUUUGAAAGGAGGUAGCUCUACGGAGCCUGUGUCGAGGUGCUGCAUGGUUGUCGUCAGCUCGUGCCGUGAGGUGUCGGCUUAAGUGCCAUAACGAGCGCAACCCCCAUCGCCAGUUACCAUCAAGUAAAGUUGGGGACUCUGGCGAGACUGCCGGCGCAAGCUGUGAGGAAGGCGGGGAUGACGUCAAAUCAGCACGGCCCUUACGUCCGGGGCGACACACGUGUUACAAUGGCAGGUACAGAGAGAAGCGACAUGGCGACAUGAAGCGGAACUGUCAAAACCUGUCUCAGUUCGGAUUGGAGUCUGCAACCCGACUCCGUGAAGCUGGAUUCGCUAGUAAUCGCGCAUCAGCCACGGCGCGGUGAAUACGUUCCCGGGCCUUGCACUCACCGCCCGUCAAG
RNAcentral lists this ribosomal RNA (647 nucleotides) under uncultured bacterium. RNAcentral describes it as "bacterial SSU rRNA". It matches the Rfam family "Bacterial small subunit ribosomal RNA", at positions 756 to 1401 of the family's 1533-position model. The record is from RNAcentral.